This 468-nucleotide ribosomal RNA is filed under the name uncultured bacterium. RNAcentral's name for it is "partial 16S ribosomal RNA". It matches the Rfam family "Bacterial small subunit ribosomal RNA", at positions 28 to 507 of the family's 1533-position model. The record is from RNAcentral.
GACGAACGCUGGCGGCGUGCUUAACACAUGCAAGUCGAACGGAAAGGCCCUGCUUUUGUGGUGUUCUCGAGUGGCGAACGGGUGAGGAACACGUGAGUAACCUGCCCUUGACUUUGGGAUAACUUCAGGAAACUGGGGCUAAUACCGUAUAGGAGCCCCUGCCGCAUGGUGGGGGUUGGAAAGUUUCGGCGGGUGGGGAUGGACUCGCGGCUUAUCAGUUUGUUGGUGGGGGAGUGGCUUACCAAGGCUUGGACGGGUAGCCGGCGUGAGAGGGUGACCGGCCACAUUGGGACUGAGAUACGGCCCAGACUCCUACGGGAGGCAGCAGUGGGGAAUAUUGCACAAUGGGCGGAAGCGUGAUGAAGCAACGCCGCGUGCGGGAUGACGGCCUUCGGGUUGUAAACCGCUUUCGCCUGUGACGAAGCGUGAGUGACGGUAAUGGGUAAAGAAGCACCGGCUAACUACGUG